UUAUCCUUGUCAUAACCUCGGUUAACACAGUUAGCUUUGCACGCAAUGUUGCCACUAGCUCGGUCUGGUGGCGAACAAUUGUCCACAGUUGUACACAGGUCAUUAUCUGUGCACAAAUCACAAUAGAGAUACCUCAAUCAACACAUAUAACCCACCAGGAAAAUAUAUGUUUCUGUAUCCAAAUACGAGUGAAGAGAUUGUGAAAGAAAGAAGAAAACCAUACCUACAUAACGCCCUGCUGCAUGACAUGAGAAGACAGUGGUGGUCAUGGCUACAAGAGCUACCAAGCAUACGGCCUGUGUGUAGUUCCGCAUACCGGCCAUGGGAGAUAGUUAGCUAUUCCUUUUUUGCUAAUGUUGUUCGUUGAUUUUGCCGAAUUCAUGUUCUUUGCCUAGGUGCUUGCGUUUAUAUUGAGGGAAAGCUAGCAGUCUUGGAUCUCUUAAUACAGAAGAAAAACUUGGAGUAAAUUUAUUUCUUUCCUCCUAUAGUUUUGUAGUAAAUAAAUGCCUCUUUGUACAAAGGCUUGCUAUAAUCUCCACAAUAAAUUCUUGCCAUUUAAUCAUAUUAUGUAUUAAUGCAUCCUUAUCCGCAUUGUGUUAAUGAUGUCGUAUCCUCAUUAAUACAUGCUUGGUAUAUGAGCCUAUUAUACAUGUGGUUUAACUUAUCCCAUGGUAGUUCUGAUUUACAGUGCCCUCACCCACACUCAUUAUAGAAAAAGUAGAGUUGUCCUCACGAGUAGGGAUGAAAACAAAGCAAAAAUGCAUGAAACUAAGUGUUGCCAUAUUAUUCUUUAUUUUUUCUGAAUGCAUAACUGAAUAUAAAAACCAAGCAAAUGAAUAUAGAAACAUAUCGUAUUGGAAAUAGAUACAUACCAAAUAAGAUAUCUACACAAAUACAAAAGCUAUGGAUGGGUGGUUGACACAGUGCCAUCAGGACAGUAGUCUGGUGUCCCUAACACUUGGUUGCGCUAAUAGGCUACUCGAUUACUUGAUUUAGUAGUAGAACAUAUUAGGUUGAGUUUCUUUCAUAGAGAUUGACAAGGGCCUGCAUGACAAGGCCUAAUGGAGCUGUAAUGUCCACACUAUGAUGGAAAGUUUUUUAUUUGGGGAAGGGUAAAUUCCAUUUCCAUAUCCAUUCCACCAAAAAUUGAUGUUCUAUCCACUUAAAGAUUUAUGUUUUUGUUUCCUUAUUUGUGGAAAACAUAAAUAUUGAACAUUUAAGUGUCGAUUUCAUUCCUACUACUGAGAGUGCGCGUCUAUGACGGGAUAGAAAUUUUUGGUAUUUUUCCCGAUCAAUACAAAACACUUAAUGAAGUUUCACCUCAUCACAAUGAAAGGGGUAAUAGUUAUGAAAAUCUUACAUGGGUAAUAGUUAUGAAAAAUCCAGUUCGUAGGCUCGUCAUGGUCCUGUAACAUGACCUACAGAACCGGAUUACCGUACCACUCUGUUGUGGAUCUUACUCUGGUUGACCUACGAGGUUCGGUAGCAACUUGAUCAGACAUUUCAUGAUCAUCAUCAUUAGCUUCCUCACUUACUGGUGUUGGAAUCAUUGGAACUGAUUUCAGUGAUGAACUACUUUCCAAUAAAGGAGCAGGUACAAUUACCUCAUCAAGUUCUACUUUCCUCCCACUCACUUCUUUCGAGAGAAACUGCUUCUCUAGAAAGGAUCCAUUCUUAGCAACGAAUAUAUUGCCUUCGGAUCUAUGAUAGAAGGUGUACCCAACAGUAUCCUUUGGGUUUCCUUUGAAGACACAUUUCUCCGAUUUGGGUUCGAGCUUAUCAGGUUGAAGAUUUUUUCACAUAAGCAUCACAGCCCCAAACUUUAAAAACGACAACUUGGGUUUCUUGGCAAACCACGGUUCAUAAGGUGUCGUCCCAAUAGAUUUAGAUGGUGCUCUAUUUAACAUGAAUGCGGCUGUCUCUAAAGCAUAACCCCAAAACGAUAGUGGUAAAUCAGUAAGAGACAUCAUAGAUCGCACCAUAUCUAGUAAAGUAUGAUUACGAUGUUUGGAUACACCAUUACGAUGUGGUUUUCUGGGUGGCGUGAGUUGCGAAACUAUUCCGCAUUGUUUCAAAUGAAAACCAAACUCGUAACUCAAAUAUUCUCCUCCACGAUCAGAUCAUAGAAACUUUAUUUUCUUGUUACGAUGAUUUCCACUUCACUCUGAAAUUCUUUGAACUUUUCAAAUGUUUCAGACUUAUGUUUCAUUAAGUAUGAUCUCCAAUAACUCUGUUGCUCGCUCCAUUGUUCCGGAGAACUGAGUUUUAGUCAUCUUACACAUGAGGCAUGGUUCGCAAGUACCAAGUGAUUUAUAAUCAAGUGAUUCCAUAAGUCCAUCAGAAUGGAGUUUCUUCAUGCGCUUUACACCAAGAUGACCCAAACGGCAGUGCCCCAAAUAAGUUGCACUAUCAUUAUCAACUCUGCAUCUUUUGGAUUCAAUACUAUGAUCAUGUAUAUCACUACUAUCAAGAUUUAGUAAAAGUGGACCACUCAUCAAGGGUGCAUGACCAUAAAAGAAACUCCUCAUAUAAAUAGAAGAACCAUUAUUCUCUGAUUUCAAUGAAUAACCGUCUCGCAUCAAAAAGAUCCAGAUAUAAUAUUCAUGCUCAACGCUGGCACAAAAUAACAAUUAUUUAGGUCUAAAACAAAUCCCAAAGGUAGAUGUAGAGGUAGCGUGCUGACGGCGAUCACAUCGACUUUGGAACCAUUUCCCAUGUGCAUCGUCACCUCGUCCUUAGCCAAUCUUCGCUUAAUCCGUAGCCCCUGUUUCGAGUUGCAAAUAUUAGCAACAGAACCAAUAUCAAAUACCCAGGCACUACUGCGAGCAUUAGUAAGGUACACAUCAAUAACAUGUAUAUCAAAUAUACCUUUCGCUUUGCCAUCCUUCUUUUCCGCCAAAUACUUGGGGCAGUUCCGCUUCCAGUGACCAGCCCUUUGCAGUAGAAGUACUCAGUUUCAGGCUUAGGUCAGGACUUGGGCUUCUUCACUUGAGCAGCAACUGGCUUGCUGUGCUUCUUGAAGUUCCCCUUCCUCCCUUUACCCUUUUUCUUGAAACUGGUGGUCUUGUUGACCAUCAAACAAUUGCUUGGCUUGUCAUCGAGGUUGUGCAUGAUUUAAAUAUUUUGUGUGAUGAAGAUAGAGCAUAGCCAGACUAUAUGAUUUUGUAGGGACAGCUUUCUUUGGCCAUGUUAUUUUGAGAAGACAUGGUUGCUUUGUUGGUAUGCUUGAAGUAUUAUUAUUUUCAUGUCAAUAUUAAACUUUUGUCUUGAAUCUUAUGGAUCUGAAUAUUAAUGCCACAAUAAAGAGAAUUACUUGGAUAAAUAUGUUAGGUAGCAUUCCACAUCAAAAAUUCCGUUUUUACCAUUUACCUACUCGAGGACGAGAAGGAAUUAAGCUUGGGGAUGCUGAUACGUCUGCAACGUAUCUAUAAUUUUUUAUUGUUCCAUGCUAUUAUAUUAUCUGUUUUGGAUGUUUAUGGGCUUUAUUAUACACUUUAAUAUUAUUUUUGGGACUAACAAAUUAACCGGAGGCCCAGCCCAAAUUGCUGUUUUCUUGCCUAUUUCAAUCGAAGAAAAGGAAUAUCAAACAGAGUCCAAACGGAAUGAAACCUUCGGGAGAGUUAUUUUUGGAACAGAAGCAAUCCAGGAGACUUGGAGUAUACGUUAGGGAAGGUUCGAGGUGGCCAUGAGGCAGGGAGGCGCGCCUGCCCCCUAGGCGUGCCCCCACCCUCGUGGGCCCCUCGUGGCUCCCUUGACUGACUUCUUUCACCUAUAUAUAUAGCAACAUACCCUAAAAACACCAGGGAGCAGAAUAGAUCGGGAGUUCUGCCGCCAGAAGCCUCCGUAGCCACCGAAAACCAAUCUAGACCCGUUCCGGCACCCUGCCGGAGGGGGGAAUCCCUCUCCGGUGGCCAUCUUCAUCAUCCCGGCGCUCUCCAUGACGAGGAGGGAGUAGUUCACCCUCGGGGCUGAUGGUAUGUACCAGUAGCUAUGUGUUUGAUCUCUCUCUCUCUCUCUCUCUCGUGUUCUUGAGGUGGUACAAUCUUGAUGUAUCGUGAGCUUUGCUAUUACAGUUGGAUCUUCUGAUGUUUCUCCCCCUCUACUCUCUUGUAAUGGAUUGAGUUUUCCCUUUGAAGUUACCUUAUCGGAUUGAGUCUUUAAGGAUUUGAGAACAAUUGAUGUAUGUCUUGCACGUGCUUAUCUGUGGUGACAAUGUGAUAUCACGUGAUCCACUUGAUGUAUGUUUUGGUGAUCAACUUGCGAGUUUCGUGACCUCGUGAACUUAUGCAUAGGGGUUGGCACACGUUUCUGUCUUGACUCUCUGGUAGAAACUUUGGGGCACUCUUUGAAGUUCUUUGUGUUGGUUGAAUAGAUGAAUCUGAGAUUGUGUGAUGCAUAUCGUAUAAUCAUACCCACAGAUACUUGAGGUGACAUUGGAGUAUCUAGGUGACAUUAGGGUUUUGGUUGAUUUGUGUCUUAAGGUGUUAUUCUAGUACGAACUCUAUGAUAAAUUGAACGGAAAGAAUAGCUUCGUGUUAUUUUACUAUGGACUCUUGAAUAGAUCGAUCAGAAAGGAUAACUUUGAGGUGGUUUCGUACCCUACCAUAAUCUCUUCAUUUGUUCUCCGCUAUUAGUGACUUUGUAGUGACUCUUUGUUGCAUGUUGACGGAUAGUUAUAUGAUCCAAUUAUGUUAUUAUUGUUGAGGGAACUUGCACUAGUGAAAGUAUGAACCCUAGGCCUUGUUUCAACUCAUUGCAAUACCAUUUGUGCUAACUUUUAUCAUUAGUUGCCUUGCUGUUUUUAUAUUUUCAGAUUACAAAAACCUAUAUCUAUCAUCCAUAUUGCACUUGUAUCACCAUAUCUUUGCCGAACUAGUGCACCUAUACAAUUUACUAUUGUACUGGGUGUGUUGGGGACGCAAGAGAUUCUUUGUUAUUUGGUUGCAGGGUUGUUUGACAGAGACCAUCUUCAUCUUACGCCUCCCACGGAUUGAUAAACCUUAGGUCAUCCACUUGAGGGAAAUUUGCUACUGUCCUACAAACCUCUGCACUUGGAGGCCCAACAACGUCUACAAGAAGAAGGUUGUGUAGUAGACAUCAGGAGCCCAUAGAGUUUCCUUUGAUGCACCAACCUGGAGUCUAGGAAAGAGCAUGGCCGCUCACAUUGCCAUGGGACGCAUCGGCGAAGUUUACCACAAGGAUCUUAAGGACACCAUCUACUAGAUAUGUGGAUGCCGAGAUGAGCAAUGGGAGAUGAUCAGCACCAGGAGGGACAAGUCCAUUGCAGCCUACAUCCAGGAGUUAAACCAACAGAUUCAUCAUCGGGAGAACCAUAUGUGCGCCAGCAUGAUGGACCUGAAGAAGGUGAUGACCAGGAACAUGGAGCUAGAAGAGGAACUCAAGUCUACACGCGAUGGAUAUGAAUACGAAAUUGCAGUACUACUGGAGAAGAAUGAAGAUCUGAAGAAGAGGCUAGGAGUAUUCAUGGGAGACCCUGCGCCAGGAGGUGACGGCCAUCCCGAAGACUACAUCAUCAUCGACGACACCGACUCCGACCCCGACAGUGAUGACGACUGUGAAGACGAAGCUGGAGAAGAUAUCAUGGAGUCUUUUUCCAAUCAAAAUUUUUAGUCGACCACCAUAUUAUCAGUAGUAUUCCCCCAUAGUAGUAAUCCGAGUAUUUUGUAACGGUAGCAAGAUCGACUGUAUGCCCUUGUUUGAAUUGAGUGAUGUGAUAUGAUUGUGUUUGUAUCAUGUGCAUAUGAGUAGUGAUUUUCUAAGGUUGAAUCCGCUGGUGUUUUCCAGUAGCACCGAGCUUAUAGUUGCUAAUGACUGGCUCCGCAGGAUUCGAAGGGAUAUAACCACCACAGGUUGCACAGAUGCUAAGAAGGUAUUCUUUUCCACACAACAAUUGGAUGGACCAGCAGCCUCAUGGUGGGAGAAUUACACAACCACUUUUCCCAUAGCCAAUGUCACAUGGGAUCAGUUUUAGCAAGCUUUUCGGUACUACGGGCCCAUGUCUCAACUGGAGCAAUGAGUAUGAAGAAGCGCGAGUUUCGCAACUUACUCCAGGGAAAUCGUACUGUGUGGCAGUAUGUGGAUGAGUUUAGUAGGUUAGCUCGUUAUGCCCCGGACGAUGUGGUCACAGAUGCCGCGAAGCAGAAGAAGUUUAUGGAAGGGCUGAAUGAUGAGCUGAGCAUGCAGUUGAUGGUGGCAACAUUCAAUAACUAGCAGGAUUUGGUAGAUAGGGCCCUUAUGAUUGAAGGCAAGCCGCAACAAAUAGAGAGCCGCAAAAGGAAGUACGGACAAGGAAGUAUAAUUCUGGAGCUCAGCAGAAGCCCUGUUUUAUCCCGAACUCGGGAGGACAGACUCAUUACCAUGGAGGCCAUACCCAUAAUGGAGGGAGUUUGCAUAACCAUUGUGUCCCUAAGAAUAGGAAUGGGAAUGGAGGGAGCAACAGACAUAACCGUUCCAACCCAGCAACACCCGCCAGGAAGGAUCUAAGUCACAUUACUUGUUUCAAGUGCGGGAAGACUGGACACUAUGCCACUGAAUGUCCUGAAGCAAAGAUUGGAAAUGGCAAUGGAAGCUCAGGGAAGAAGCCAAACCCUUUCAUGAGAGGUCAGGUGAACCACAUCAACGUGGAGGAGGUUGAAGAACGGCCUGAUGAAGUGAUCGGUAAGUUUUUGAUUAAGUCAUUUACCGGUCUCGCUCUUUUUGACACUGGUGCAUCACAUUCAUACAUAUCAAGGGUAUUUGUGGACAAGUUUAAGUUGCCAACCUUAGGCCUUAGGUCACCCAUGGUGUGAUCGGCCCUAAUUAUUGGUAGCCACGUUUUCCCCUCAGACCUAAUAAUUUUGGAGUCCCAAGGAUUGGAUAUAAUAUUAGGCAUGGAUUGGUUAUUGAAGUAUGGAGGAAACAUCGAUUGUACUAGUAAGUCAAUUUUACUCACCACCCCGGAGGGAAUGAGGAUCAAGUAGGUGUCUAGGCAUGCGCCAAGGAGGACCCAAGUGAAUUCUCUCUCAGGAGUUGUUCAGGAAGAAGUGCCUGUUGUGAAGGAUUACCUGGAUGUAUUUCCAGAGGAGCUACCAGGCAUGCCGCCAGAUCGAGACAUGGAAUUUUUUGAUAGAGAUCUUGCCACGCACCGGACCAAUAUCAAAGAGACCGUAUCGGAUGCCCGCAAAUGAUCUAGAGGAAAUUAACAAGCAGAUUAAGGAGUUAUUGGAGAAGGGUUAUACCUGACCAAGUUCAUCAUCGUGAGGAGCCCCGGUGCUCUUAGUUGAGAAGAAGGAUGGAUCUUUGAGAAUGGUUGUUGAUUAUCGGGCAUUGAAUGAAGUGAUAAUCAAGAACAAAUACUCACUCCCGAUGAUCAAUGAUCUAUUUGACCAGUUGCAAGGAGCUAAAGUAUUCUCCAAGAUCGACCUUCAAUCAGGAUACCACCAGCUAAAGAUCCGAGAACAUGAUAAACCUAAGACAGCUUUUACCACAAGGUACGGGCUAUAUGAGUACACGGCCAUGUCAUUUGGAUUGACUAAUGCCCCUGCCUAUUUUAUGAGUAUGAUGAACAAGAUGUUCAUGGAGUUUUUGGAUAAGUUUGUUGUGGUGUUCAUUGAUGAUAUUUUGCUGUACUUGAAUAAUGAAGAGGAACACAAGGAACACUUGCACUUAGUUCUCGAGAAGCUCAGAGAACAUCAGCUAUAUGCCAAGUUCAGCAAGUGUGAGUUUUGGUUGAAGGAAGUUGGAUUUCUUGGACAUGUUAUAUCAGGAGAAGGUAUAGCCAUUGAUCCUACGAAGGUUCAGUCUGUCACUGAGUGGUUGGCACCCACCUCAGUUGGAGAGAUCCGCAGGUUUCUAGGACUUGCAGGAUAUUACAGGAGGUUCAUUGAGAAUUUCUCCAAGAUUGCAAAACCCAUGACAGAGUUGUUGAAGAAGGACACCAAGUUCAAAUGGACCGCGGAUUGUGAGGCAAGUUUUCAGGAGUUGAAGAAACGUUUGGUUACAGCCCUAGUGCUGAUUCUUCCGGAUAUACUCGAGGAUUUCCAAGUUUAUUGUGACGCUUCUCAUUUGGAACUUGGAGGUGUACUUAUGCAAAACAGAAUAGUUGUUUCAUAUGCCUCACGGCAGCUUCGACCUCACGAGUUGAAUUAUGCCACACAUGAUUUGGAGUUAGCAGCCGUAGUGCAUGCACUCAAGAUGUGGAGACAUUUUCUGAUUGGAAAUAGAUGUGAUUUGUACACGGAUCACAAUAUUUUGAAGUACAUUUUCUCGCAGAAGGAGUUGAAUCUCAUGUAGAGGAGAUGGUUGGAGCUCAUAAAGAAUUAUGAUAUGAAGUUGCAUUAUCAGCUAGGCAAGGCCAAUGUCUUAGCAGACGCUUUGAGCCGCAAGAGUUAUGCCAAUACGCUCGUAAGCGGAGGAUUACCGCACGAGUUAGUAGAUGAUCUCAAGGAACUUCGUUUGGAGAUAGUUCCAAGAGGUUUCGUUGCAACAAUGGAGGUUCAGUCUACAUUAUUGGGAAAGAUUCAAGGAGCUCAGAAGGAUGAUAAGGAAAUUGCUGAGAUUAAGGAGAAGAUGAGCAAAGGAAAAGCCAAAGAUUUUCGUGAGGAUGAACAUGAGACUUUAUGGUUUGGAGAUCGCGUAUACGUUCCCAAUAAUGCGGAGAUCAGGAAGUUAAUACUUCAGGAAGCUCAUGACUCGCCAUACUUGAUUCACCCCAGAAACACCAAGAUGUAUUUGGAUUUGAAGGAGCGUUUCUGGUGGACAGGUAUGAAGAAGGAUAUUGCCAAGUAUGUAGCAGUAUGCGAUGUGUGUCAGAGAGUGAAGGCAGAGCAUCAGAAGCCAGCUGGAUUAUUACAGCCCAUGACGAUACCCGAUUGCAAGUGGGACAAGAUUGGCAUGGAUUUCAUCACCGGAUUUCCCAGGACCUGAUCAGGAUAUGAUUCCAUCUGGGUAGUAGUUGAUCACCUGACCAAGGUAGCUCACUUUAUCCCAUUGAAAUCCACCUAUACAAGCGCGUAGUUGGCCAAGAUAUAUAUGACCAGGAUCGUAUGUCUGCAUGGAGUUCCGAGGACCAUCGUAUCAGAUAGAGGGACACAGUUUAGCUCGAAGUUUUGGAAUCAAUUGCACCAGACUUUGGGUACUAGGCUGGAGUUCAAUAUAGCCUUUCAUCCGCAGACAGAUGGACAGACCGAGAGAUUCAAUCAGAUUCUAGAGGACAUGUUGAGAGCUUGUGCGCUAGAUUAUAGAUCUGGUUGGGAUGAUAAUUUACCUUACGCUGAGUUCUCAUAUAACAACAGUUAUCAGGAUAGUUUGAUGAUGUCACCUUUUGAAGCCUUGUAUGGAAGGAGAUGCAGGACACCAUUAAUGUGGGAUGAAGUUGGAGACCAUUAGUUGUUUGGACGGGAUUUUAUCAAAGAGUCCGAAUAGAAGGUUAAGUUGAUUCGAGAUAGACUGAAGGUAGUUCAGUCCAUGCAGAAGAGUUAUGCCGACACUAAACGCAAGGAUGUAGUCUAUGAAAAAGGAGAUAGAGCAUAUCUUCGUGUGUUGCCACUCCGAGGAGUUAAAAGAUUUGGAGUUAAGGGAAAGUUAGCCCCGAGAUUUGUAGAACCAUACCGAGUUCUGGAACGUAUGGGAGAGGUUGCCUACAAAUUGGAGUUACCCGAAGGAUUGUCAGGAGUUCAAGAUGUGUUUCACGUUUCCCAGUUGAAGAAGUGCCAUGCUGAGAUGGCCGAUAUUCCCCUAAGAGAUACAGUGCCUCUGGAAGCAAUUCAGUUGGAGAGUGAUCUAAACUACGAGGAGAAACCUGUCAAGAUUCUUGAGUUUGCCAGCCGAGUUACCCGCAACAAUGUUAUCAAGUUUUGCAAAGUUCAGUGGAGCCACCAUACCGAGGAUGAAGCCACCUGGGAGCGAGAAGAAGACCUACGGAAAGACCACCCACACCUAUUUUCUAGCCCACCCGAAUCUUGAGGGCAAGAUUCAUCUUAAGGAGGGUAGGUUUGUAACAUCCCAAUUUUCAAUUUGGAUGUUAUACAUAGGUCAUCAUAUGCAUAUCAUAUUUUAUUUUCAUAUUUGGUUGUGAUCCUAGAAAUCUUAAGCAACUCAAGGACCCAAGGAGAGAGUUGGAGAUUUCAUAUAUUUUCAUAUUUGAGUUUUUCUCAAAUUUGAAAAGAGGAUCCAUUUGGUUUUAAUAUUUUUCUCUCUAAUUAUUUCCAAUAUUUAAAUUAAAAGAGAGAAGAUAAUAUGACUUCUUCAAAAAGAGAGGAAUAUUGGAGGAGAAAUUUUAAAAUCAAAUUUAUAUUUUAUUUGGUUUUUAUUUGAUAUUUUGUUUGAAUUAGAAAAGUAUGCAUUUUUGGAAAUUGCAAUUUUAGCCAAGAAAAAUGUUCACUUCGUUCUAAAUAAUAGGUUUAGACGGAGAAAAUUGUUUUGGCAUUUUUUUAGAAUUUUUUUUAUAUUUUAUUAGGAUUUUAUUCGGGCGGAAUUUUAUUUAAAAAAUCCUUCCCUCGCCCAACUGGGCCGAAGGCCUAGCCGAGCGGCCCAGCAGCCCACCUCGCCGCCGCCUUCCUCUUGCGCGGGGAGGAGACCCGCCGCCGCAUGCCACCGAGGGGAGUCCGAGCCGGACUCCACCCCGCGCCGCCCCCUCGCCCAAGGCUGACCCCCUGGCCUUUAUAGCCAUUGCCGCCGCCUCCUCCCUCACCCCGAGCUAACGCACCACCGUCGUCGAGCCGCGCCGUUGCCUCCUUUGCACCACCGAGCCGUGCCGCUGCCGCCAGCUGCUGCCGCGCCGCCUCACCCGUGCCGCCGCCUUUCCUCGUCUAUGAUGGAGCUAUUGUGUUCGAGCCCUCGAGGCCCCUGGCUUAUAAUAUGAUGCUUGUAUGACUUAUUUUAUUUGUAGAGUUGUGUUGUGAUAUCUUCCCGUGAGUCCCUGAUCUUGAUCGUACACAUUGCGUGUAUGAUUAGUGUACGGUCAAAUCGGGGGCGUCACAAUAUGCCUCCAAGACAUGACCCCGUAUUUGUUUUCCCACCGGAGCUCACCCAGUUGAUCCAGCAGCAGAAUGCCUUGAUGCAGCUACUAGUCCAGAACCAAGGCAACAACAACAACAACAACAACAACAAUAACAACCCACCGCCACCACCUCCAGUAGACAAAUUAGCCUAUUUUCCGAGGUUGAAUCCGCCGGUGUUUUCCAGUAGCACCGAGCCAAUAGUUGCUGAUGACUGGCUCCGCAGGAUUCGAAGGGAGCUGACAAUCGCAGGUUGCACAUAUGCUAAGAAUGUGCGCUUUGCCACACAUCAAUUGGAUGGACCAGCAGCCUCAUGGUGGGAUAAUUACACAACCACUUUUCCCAUAGCCAAUGUCACAUGGGAUCAGUUUCAGCAAGCUUUCCGUACCGCCCAUGUCUCAACUGGAGCAAUGAGUAUGAAGAAGUGUGAGUUUCGCAACUUACACCAGGGAAAUCAUACUAUGGCGUAGUACGUGGAUGAGUUUAGUAAGUUAGCUUGUUAUGCCCCGGACGAUGUGGCCACAGAUGCCGCGAAGCAGGAGAAGUUUAUGGAAGGGCUGAAUGAUGAGCUAAGCAUGCAGUUGAUGGUGGCAACAUUUAAUAACUACAAGGAUUUGGUAGAUAGGGCCCUUAUGAUUGAAGUCAAGCAACAAUAGAUAGAGAGUCGCAAAAGGAAGCAUGGACAAGGGAAGUAUAAUUCUGGAGCUCAGCAGAAGCCCCGUUUUACCCCGAACUUGGGAGGACAGACUCAUAACCAUGGAGGCCAUACCCAUAAUGGAGGUAGUUCGCAUAACCACAGUUGCCCUAAGAAUGGGAAUGGGAACGGAGGAAGCAACGGACAUAACCGUUCCAACCCAGCAACACCCGCCAGGAAGGAUCUAAGUCACAUUACUUGUUUCAAGUACGGGAAGACUAGACACUACGCCCUGAAGCAAAGAAUGGAAAUGGCAAUGGAAGCUCAGGGAAGAAGCCAAACCCUUUCACCAGAGGUCAAGUGAACCACAUCAACGUGGAGGAGGUUGAAGAACAGCCUGAUGAAGUGAUCAAUAAGUUUUUGAUUAAGUCAUUUAUCGCUCUCGUUCUUUUUGAUACUGGUGCAUCGCAUUCAUAUAUAUCAAAGGGAUUUGUGGACAAGUUUAAGUUGCCAACCUUAGCCCUUACGUCACCCAUGUUAGUAAUCUCGCCAUGAGCAGAGUAUAUGGCCAGCCGAUGGUGUGAUCGGUUAACCCUAACCAUUGGUAGCCAUGUUUUCCCCUUAGACCUAAUAAUUUUCGAGUCCCAAGGACUGGAUAUAAUAUUAGGCAUGGAUUGGUUAUCGAAGUAUGGAGGAAACAUCGAUUGUGCUAGUAAGAAUUUUAUUCACCACCCCGGAGUGAAAGAGGAUCAAGUAUAUGUCUAGGCAUGCGCCAAGGAGGACCCAAGUGAAUUCUCUCUCGGGAGUUGUUCAGGAAGAAGUGCCUAUUGUGAAUGAUUACUCGGAUGUAUUUCCAAAGGAGCUACCAGGCAUCUCGCCGGAUCGAGACAUGGAAUUUUUGAUAAAGUUGUUGCCAGGCACCGGACCAAUAUCAAAGAGACCGUAUUGGAUGCCCGAAAAUGAUCUAGAGGAAAUUAAGAAGAAGAUUAAUGAGUUAUUGGAGAAGGGUUAUAUCUGACCAAGUUCAUCACCGUGGGGAGCCCCGGUGCUCUUAGUUAAGAAGAAGGAUGGAUCUUUGAGAAUGGUUGUUGAUUAUCGGGCAUUGAAUGAAGUGACGAUCAAGAAGAAAUACCCACUUCCGAUGAUCAAUGAUCUAUUUGACCAGUUCCAAGGAGCUAAAGUAUUCUCCAAGAUCGAUCUUCGAUCAGGAUACCAUCAGCUGAAGAUUCGAGAACAGGAUAUACCUAAGACAGCUUUUACCACAAGGUACGGGCUAUAUGAGUACACGGUCAAGUCAUUUGGACUGACUAAUUCCCCUCCCUAUUUUAUGAGUAUGAUGAACAAGGUGUUCAUGGAGUUUUUGGAUAAGUUUUUUGUGGUGUUCAUUGAUGAUAUUUUGGUGUACUCGAAUAAUGAAUAGGAACACAAGGAACACUUGCGCUUAGUUCUCGAGAAGCUCAGAGAACAUCAGCUAUAUGCCAAGUUUAGCAAGUGUGAGUUUUGGUUGAAGGAAGUUGGAUUUCUUGGACAUGUUAUAUCAGGAGAAGGUAUAGCCAUUGAUCCUACAAAGGUUCAGUCUGUCACUAAGUGGUUGGCACCCACCUUAGUUGGAGAGAUCCGCAGUUUUCUGGAACUUGCAGGAUAUUACAGGAGGUUCUUUGAGAAACCCAUGACAGAGUUGUCAAAGAAGGACACCAAGUUCAAAUGGACCGAAGAUUGUGAGGCCAGUUUUCAGGAGUUGAAGAAACGUUUGGUUACAACCCCAGUGCUGAUUCUUCCGGAUAUACGAAAGGAUUUCCAAGUUUAUUGCAAUGCUUCUCGUUUGGGACAUGGAGGUGUACUUAUGCAAGACGGAAGAGUUGUUUCAUAUGCCUCAGGCAGCUUCGACCUCACGAGUUGAAUUAUGCCACACAUGAUUUGGAGUUAGCAGUCGUAGUGCAUGCGCUCAAGACCUGGAGACAUUUUCUGAUUGGAAAUAUAUGUGAUGUGGACACGGAUCACAAGAUUUUGAAGUACAUUUUCACGCAGAAGGAGUUGAAUCUCAUGCAAAGGAGAUGGUUGGAGCUCAUAAAGGAUUACAAUAUGAAGUUGCAUUAUCAUCUAGGAAAGGCCAAUGUCGUAGCCGACGCUUUGAGCCGCACUUGUAAGCGCAGGAUUACCGCAGGAGUUAGUAGAUGAUCUCAAGGAACUUCAUUUGCAAAUAGUUCCAAGAGGCUUUGUUGCAACAAUGGAGGUUCAGUCUACAUUAUUGGGAAAGAUUCGAUGAGCUCAGAAGGUUGAUAGGGAGAUUGUUGAGAUUAAGGAGAAGAUGAGCAAAGGAAAAGCCAAAGGUUUUCGUGAGGAUGAACACGAGACUUUAUGGUUUGAGGAUCGUGUAUACGUGCCCAAUAAUGCGGAGAUCAGGAUGUUAAUACUUCAGGAAGCUCAUGGCUCGCCAUACUCAAUUCACCCUGGAAACACCAAGAUGUAUUUGGAUUUGAAGGAGCGUUUCUGGUGGACAGGCAAGAAGAAGGAUAUUGCCGAGUAUGUAGCAGUAUGUGACGUAUGUCAGAGAGUGAAGGCAGAGCAUCAGAAGCCAGCCGGAUUAUUACAGCCCAUGCCAAUACCCGAUUGGAAGUGGGACAAGCUUGGCAUGGAUUUCAUCACCGGAUUACCUAGGACCCGAUCAGGAUAUGAUUCCAUCUAGGUAGUAGUUGAUUGCCUGACCAAGGUAGCUCACUUUAUCGCAGUGAAAACCACCUAUACAAGCGCGUAGUUGGCCAAGAUAUAUACGACCUGGAUCAUAUGUCUGCAUGGAGUUUCGAGGACCAUCGUAUCAGAUAUGGGGACACAGUUGACCAUGAAGUUUUGGAAUCAAUUGCACCAGACUUUGGGUACUAUGCUGGAGUUCAGUAUAGCCUUUCAUCCGCAGACAGAUGGACGGACCGAGAGAUUUAAUCGGAUUCUGGAGGACAUGUUGAGAGCAUGUGCGCUAGAUUAUGGAUCUAGUUGGGAUGAUAAUUUACCUUACGCAGAGUUCUCAUAUAACAAUAGUUAUCAGGCUAGUUUGAUGAUAGCACCUUUUGAAGCCUUGUAUGGAAGGAGAUGGAGGACACCAUUAAUGUGGGUUGAAGUUGGAGACCGUCAGUUGUUUGGACCGGAUUUCAUCAAAGAGUCCGAAGAGAAGGUUAAGUUGAUUCGAGAUAGACUGAAGGUAGCUCAGUCCAGGCAGAAGAGUUAUGCCGACACUAAACGCAAGGAGGUAGUCUAUGAAAUAGGAGACAGAGCAUAUCUUCGCGUGUUGCCACUCCGAAGAGUUAAAAGAUUUGGAGUUAAGGGAAAGUUAGCCCCGAGAUUUGUAGAACCAUACCAAGUUCUGGAACGUAUGGGAGAGGUUGCCUACAAAUUGGAGUUACCCGAAGGAUUGUCAGGAGUUCACGAUGUGUUUCACAUUUCCCAAUUGAAGAAGUGCCAUGCUGAGAUGGGCGAUAUUCCCCUAAGAGAUAAAGUGCCUCUUGAAGCAAUUUAGUUGUAGAGUUAUCUAACAUACGAGGAGAAACCCGUCAAGAUUCUUGAGUUUGCAAGCCGAGUUACCCGCACCAAGGUUAUCAAGUUUUGUAAAGUUCAGUGGAGCCACCAUACCGAGGAUGAAGCCACCUGGGAGCGAGAAGAAGACCUACAGAAAGACCACACACACCUAUUUUCUAGCCAACCCGAAUCUCGAGGGAAAGAUUCAUCUUAAGGAGGGUAGGUUUGUAACAUCCCAAUUUGCAAUUCGGAUGUUAUACAUAGGUCAUCAUAUGCAUAUCAUAUUUUAUUUGCAUAUUUGGUUGUGAUCCUAGAAAUCUUAAGCAACUCAAGGACCCAAGGAGAGAGUUGGGGAUUUCAUACAUUUUCAUAUUUGAGUUUUUCUCAAAUUUGAAAAGAGGAUCCAUUUGGUUUUAAUAAUUUUCUCUCUAAUUAUUUCCAAUAUUUAAAUUAAAAUAGAGAAGAUAAUAUGACUUCUUCAAAAAGAGAGGAAUACUGGAGGAGAAAUUUUAAAAUCAAAUUUAUAUUUUAUUUGGUUUUUAUUUGAUAUUUUAUUUGAAUUAGAAAAAUAUGCAUUUUUGGAAAUUGCAUUUUAAGCCAGAAAAAUGCUCACUUCGUUAUAAAUAAUAGGUUUAGACGGUGAAAAUUGUUUUUGGCAUUUUUAGAACUUUUUUAUAUUUUAUAAGGAUUUUAUUCGGGCAGAAUUUUAUUUUAAAAAAUCCUUCCCUCGCCCAACUGGGCCGAAGGCCCAGCCGACCGGUCCAGCAGCCCACAUCGCCGCCGCCUUCCUCCCGCGCGGGGACGAGACCCGCCGCCGCAUGCCGCUGAGGGGAGUCCGAGCCGGACUCCACCCCGCGCCGCCCCCUCGCCCAAGGCCGACCCCCCUAGCCUUUAUAACCACCGCCGCCGCCGCUUCCUCCCUCACCCCUAGCCGCCGCACCACCGCCACCAAGCCGCGUCGUCGCCGCCUUUGCGCCACCGAGCCGCGCCGCCUCGCCCGUGCAGCCGCCUUUCCUCGCCGCCCGCCGGAGUCUGCCGCCGCCGUUUCGUCGUUGCCGAGAAACGGUACAAACCGCCCCGGUUCACCGGUUUAUUUUUGGUUUUUUUCGGUUCUCGGUUUAGAUCGGUUUAAGGUUAGGCUUUUCUCGGUUUUUUCCAAAUGAAUCUAUUUAGGGAACGUUCUUUGUUCUGUUCAUUUUAAUGAACAUGUUCAGUCGUUUGUCCCGACAGUGAACGUUCGUUCGAUAGCCUUUUUCUUUUAUUCUAUUUUCGGCCAGGGACCUAUCUGCGAUUAUUUUUAUCGCAGAUUAGCCCAUGAUCUUCAAGCCCUCACCACUUUUUGCUCGCUCGUCCAAAUCCAGUGAAACCAACGCCAAAAUAUUCGUCUUGUUCCCCUCUUUCUAGUUAGCCAACUUGAAUAUGGAUUUAAAAUUUUAAAAUUUGGUUGCAAGCAGAUUUGAAUUCGAACUUCUUUUGAUCGUAGUUUGAGUUUCGUAGCUCCGAUUUGGUUGAUUCUUUUUGCAAAUGAAAGCUCUUCAGUUGAACUUUCAAUUUGUAUAUUUCUCUUGAGUUUUACCCUUGCAUCUAUUGCUUGAGUGUUUAUGUAUGUUAUUGUUUGUUUGCGACAGAGUUUCCGGAGUGUGAAGCGUGCUACUACGAGUCACUAGGGUUUUCAUAUCGUCAGCAAGGCAAGUAACACUUUGAUCAUACCCCUUAUUACCCAGUUUUUAUGCAUUAUUUCAAUCCUCAAACACUGCAUGGUUAGGACUUGAAUAUUUGUGGGUACUGGGAAGUAGUUAUGAGGUAGUACCUAUUGUCUUUAUUUCAAACCCUGGAAGUUACUUCUACGUUGUGCUUAUACUGCUAUGCUAUGCUCGUAGACGUGGUUUGGUUUGAGUGAUCCAUGACAGAUGUGAGAGUUUUAAUUAAUGGUUAAACUUAAGGUGGCUACUUUAAUACACAUCUAGGUGGAUUGGUUGAGGCAACCAGGAACACCCAGUGGUUGUCUGGGCACCUGGAGCAAUCCAGUUUUGUCCUGGGAUAUCCCGGAGUACCCGUGUGAUCAUCCUACGGUUUGCCACCCAGGCUCGAAGGGAUCAUAAGAUUAUACAUGCUGGAAACUUACGUGUGCAACCACAAGCCAUUAUGGGCUCUGUCAUAGUUGAGUAAGUUGUGUGACCUCUUUCAAUGGUAUGCUAGCAGAUGUAGGGGAUGUAGGUGGUACUGUCUACCCAGAGUAAAUAGUUAAUGCUUCUGAAAGACUGUGUCUUGGUCAUCUGUUUCUCAAACAUCAUGUAGUGUGAGAAAUACAACGGAGGAGAUCGAGUCUUGUGGUGAAAAGUACGCAAACCUCUGCAGAGUGUAUAAACUAAUCAUGGUUAGCCGUGUCCCGGUUAUGGACAUCUUGAGUAUCUGGUACUUGAAUUAUUGAUUUGAUCUCAUCACUCUAUUAAUUAAUUUGUUGGGUUGAUGACUAUAUAAUUUGGGAUUGACUUGGAGGAACCUUCUCAAUGUUUACCACAAAUUUUGUAGUUAAAUAAAAUAUAUUCCUUUGGUGUAGGGAAAAAUUAGCUUUCUGCAAAAAUAACCAUAGAGCCUCCACUAGCCAAGUAUGCAUAUAGUUAUAGCUGCUACAUGUUCAUUGCUCUAUAGUGUUAUUUUUCCAGCAUAUUCCAUGUGCUGACCCAUUUCGGGCUGCAACGUAUUAUGUUGCAGACAUUUCAGACGAAGAGUAAGGUGCGCUAGGUCGUUGUCGUGCACUCAGCAAUGCCGUCGGAGUUGAUGGACUCAUUUUACCUUUGAAGCGUCUGAUGUUAUCUUCAUUAGAUGGCCUUCAGCUGUAUUAUUGCAAUAAGUACUCUCUUUUGAGAUAUUCGAUGUAAUAAGUGUGUGAUUGAACUCUGUUAUAAAUCCUUCAAGUACUGUGUGUGUGUGUCAGCAUUACCGAUCCUGGGAUGACACUUAUACGCAGAUAUUUGACCGCUUGAGGUCGAAUCGCUACAGCCAAGCCAGGCCGAUCAGUUCGUGUCGGGCUUUUUCGGGCUUGAGCCAGGCUUGGGCUGUAUUUAGUAGGCCUGACGGUCAGGCUGAGCCAGGUUCGGGCCUGGGUUUUCAGCACCGGCCGUGGUGGAAAGUAGGGGCGGGGCGGUGGGGGGAGGGGCCGGAUCUGGUGGCUUGGGUGACAGGGGCGAUAGGUGGCAAGGAGCGUGGGUGGACUGCCGGAGAUGAAGAAGAUGGCGGGGAUUUGGGGUGCGGCUGCGAGGAUCUGUGGGGACUGGGGCUUGGGGCCGACCGUGCGGGGAAGAGAGUAAGAUCGUGGGUGGAGUGGGUCAGGUGGGGUGGUCUUUAUCUUUCUUUCUUUGGUGCGCCUCAGGGUCGGUUCGGUGGGUGUGUGUGCAGAAUAAGGUUUCUGUUGUUAGAAUAAGGUCUUAAGGGGUGUUGUUCGAAUAGACCCACUCAAUUUAUAUGGCUUGUUCCCUAUAAUGACUACGAUGAGGGAUAUUCUAUGGCUUGUUUCAUAGUGUUGUGGGACUUCCAAAUUUUUUUUUAAUUUCUCAUUAUUUGACGUGAUAAUGAUGAUUUAUUUUUCUGUGUCGUCGCAAUAAAAUGAUUUUAGUGACACAAUGGAAAAAAUAUGCUAAAUCAAAAAUUAUAAAUAGCUUAUUAUUAAUUUAAUUGUAUGAACUGAAUCAGGUUUCACACAAACAAUAUAAGCAUUCACCUUCACGCAAUAUUUCUAGUACAUAUAUAAACUCAUUUCAUGGUAGUUCUCAGUUCUUUCUGCAGCAGCAUGUGCUACUACUGCCUUCAACACAACUGCUCUUAUCCUUGUCAUAACCUCGGUUAAUACAGUUAGCUUUGCACGCAAUGUUGCCACUAGCUCGGUCUGGUGGCGAACAAUAGUCCACAGUUGUACACAGGUCAGUAUCUGUGCACAAAUCACAAUAGAGAUACCUCAAUCAACACAUAUAUAACCCACCAGGAAAAUAUAUAUUUGUGUAUCCAAAUACGAGUGAAGAGAUUAUGAAAGAAAGAAGAAAACCAUACCUAUGUAACGCCCUGUUGCAUGACAUGAGAAGACAGUGGUGGCCAUGGCUACAAGAGCUACCAAGCAUAGGGCCUGUGUGUAGUUAAGCAUACCGGCCAUGGGAGAUAGUUAGCUAUUCCUUUUCUGCUAAUGUUGUUUGUUGAUUUUGCCGAACUCAAGUUCUUUGCCUAUGUGCUUGUUUUUAUAUUGAGCGAAACUAGCAGGCUUGGAGCUUAACACGGAAGAAAAACUUGGAGUAAAUUUAUUUCAUUCCUCCUAUAGCUUUGUAGUAAAUAAAUGCCUCUUUGUACAAAGGCUUGCUAUAAUCUCCACAAUAAAUUCUAGCCAUUUAAUCAUAUUAUGUAUUAAUGCAUCAUUAUCUGCAUUGUGUUAAUGCUUCCUUAUCCUCAUUAAUAUAUGCUUGGUAGAUGAGCCUAUUAUACAUGUGGUUUACUUUAUCCCAUGGUAGUUCUGAUACAGAGUGCCCUCACCCACACUCAUUGAUACAGAAAAAGUAGAGUUGUGCUCAUGAGUAGGGAUGAAGACAAAGCAAAAUGCACAAAACUUAGUCCUGCCACAUUAUUUUUGUAUUUCUAAAUGCAUAAAUGAAUAACAAAACCAAGCAAACGAAUAUACAAACAAAUCAUAUUGGAAAUAGAUACAUACCAAAUAUGCUAUCAACACAAAUAAAAAAGCUAUGGAUGGGUGCUUGACAUGGUGCCAUCACGACAGCAAUCUGAUGUCCCUAACACUUGGUUGCGCUAAUACGCCUACUCAUUUACUUGAUUUGGCAGUAGAAUAAAUUAGGUUGAGUUCAUUCAUCACACGGGGUGCAAAAUAAGUUAUUCUUCACUCGCGAUAAUGUUACAUAAUUUCAUAAAUAAAUUAUAUUCGAAAUAAAAAUCGUUACAUUCAUAUUGAUUCACCGCGUAAAAUGUGGCAUAAGAAAAAAAGGUCAUAAGACCAGAAACAUUGCAUUCUAUGUACAUUUUACACUAAGUUUUUACAUUUAUAUCUUAUGUAACAUAACAUAUUUUUACGGCGAUUAUAUAUUUUCAUACAUUUUUUUUACAUCUGAAAUAAGACAAAAUUUAUGGAACAUAAAAGUACUGUGCAUUAAUAAAAUAGAGGGGGGGUGAACAAUAACUAUUCCUCACCAAGGGUGACGAAUAUAUAAUUUUACGUUCUGACCACCACGCGCACCAACAAAUUAAACUAAACUGUAACGCGUGCCUACACCCACCGUAGAAGCAAACACUUCAUUUGAUAGUCAAACAAUUACCAUGUAGUAAAUCUAAGCAACCCGAUCAUACAACCAUUAUUAUGUAGUAAAGUUUAAGAAAUAUUUCCUUCUAGUCGAUGUUAUUUCCAUAAACUUCUAAACCUCCUCCGGAGGCAAAAAGAACUACACUACAAUAUUAGCAGAAAAAAUUCCAUGCCCUAUUUGGGUACUGCUUGCGAUAUUAAACCAUUCGUUGGAAGGAGACAUGUAAUAUACCGUUGAAAAGCUAUGAAUUAGGCGCAACUGUGCCACAUUGAAUACUUUUCUAUAUUCGUCACGGUUUAAAAGCAGUGUAAAAAAGGGUGCGGCACCCGAUCAGUGGUAGCGAGUGUAUUUUCGUGUUUUUUCUGAACGGCUUGUCAGAAUUAUGCAAAUCAUAUGUUGUUGGAAAUAUAUCAUCGAGGCGCAACUUUUUAAUAUACAAUACUCUCUCUAAUUCUUUACGGUCUAAGAGCAGUUUCAAAUUUACCAAAACAAGAAAACUUUGUUUUUCAAAUUUUGAGAUUUUCCGUUCCGGUUUUUGCUGCAAUUUUUUAACCACGUGAGUUUUGGUUGUCUUUUUCAUACUUAUCUUUUUAAGCGCGUGGACCUGCCGAGUGGACAGCAUGGACUGAGCGAGCGAAUCGCACUGCGUCGAGAAGUGAACCAAUUUUUGUUGUUGUUGUUUUCCUAAUAUUUUCGCAUUUCACAUUGGAAACAAGUGAACAAGAUCACUCUUGAAAGUGUACCACGGGGCAUAAACUAGUAAACUACAUCUGAAAAGAAGUGAACUUCUUAUGAUGUUUUUCUUUUUCCCGUUUUACAAAGUGAACUACAGAAGAUGUUUACACUAAACCGCAUCCCAAGUAAUCUCUUUUUUUGUCAAUAUGGACUGCAUCCCACCAUGUCUGGAUUAUUUUUCUACUGCAUACGACAACCGAAUUUUGAGCAAUGAGCAAUGAACCAUGGUGGUUUCCCACAUUCUUUUGUCUUGUUUUAUACGAGCGAACCACAUAGUUGUGGCAAAUGAACUACACUUGUGUUUUCUAUUAGUUGGCAUGGAAUCUAAAUGAACCGCAUCAGUUCUUUUUGUCUUUUUAUAAUAAAAAAAUACAAAUAUAUAUGGAAUUCAUGCUCAAACUUAGGAACUGCAAUUGUUUUUCAUGAUUAUGUACUAUGGGGAUCAUUUCUAUUUUUUCACUUUUAGUAUUUUAUAUAGAGGGGAAGAAAAUGAACUGCAAUACUUCUUUUUUUCUCACGGGUGUGUACUGUAAAAAUGGACCUAAAACAAAUAAUCAAGAUUACAAUCUGGUCCUUUUGGACACGCCUUGGAUGUGACUACUCGUCACCAUCCUCAGCUGCCAUCGUGGCCGAACAACAUGCCCCCAACUAGACGUCUUAGCGCCGGUAAGUGCAUUGUGUCAUGUAGGGAUUCAAACUACAAUGGUGUUGAACAUAGAGCUCGCUAGAAACCAAGCCAUUGUUUGUCGUUGUCUCUCAGUGUGCCCAUCACCUGCAUAGAGACACACACUGAACCACAUCUGGAGCCCCCACUCCACCAGCAUGUACAAAUCGCAUGCCACAUGAAUGUCAUCUUCACGCAAAUGGAGCUGCAAUCAAAAUAAGAAGCACACUUUACUAAACAUUGCCCAAAUUAAAAAUAGCGAACUACAAAAAAUUAAUUUUUUUGGAAAAGGUGAUGCACGUACUACACUUGAGUUUCCCUUCACACUGCAUGUCCGGGAUGCCUUGACUGCAAGGGGAGGAGGGCAGCUCAUCGAGUAGUACUGCAUGGGCGUGCGGUGAUGAUCAGCGAACUCCACGUGGUGCGCUGCCGAGCUGCACCAGAAAAAAGGGGAUGGAGGUCAGCAGGAUGGGGCGCUCGUCAAUCCAAGCCGAACAACACGAGAGGAGUAACCGAAUUGCCUACAAAUCCAACAUGAACCUCGCCGAAGUGGAGGUGGAGUUCCUGGUGUAGUUUUGCCACGGCAAAUGUCCUUGUGAGAAGACUAAGUUGUGGAGCCAUCUCCGCUAGAAGGAAACUUGGAUGGGGUUGAUCGCAACAUGAUAAGACUCGAUUUUACUGAGGUUCGACCCCUCAUGGUGGAGGUGAAAGCCUACAUCCUGCUUGAUUGCUAUUGAUUCUCAUGGUCCUGAUUACAAGGGCGCUAUUUUGCUACCUAUGUCUCGAGAGCUAUCAAAACAUGCGUCUGUCUCGAGACCUAUGAAAACAUCUCUCUCGAUACUUGUCUAUCUAGAAACUCGUGCUACUCAUGACCCUGGGACUCGCUUUAUAUCAUAGUUGAGUCCAUGGGGUUACAAGAGAUUCCGGGUUAUACCCACGGUCGAAGUCCUACUCUAAAUCCCCUAAAUCCUCCAUGUCUUCCAGGUCUGGCAUUUCCAUCUUGUAUUUGGACUCCUUGGUGGAAUUUCAUCUAAGUCCAGGUCAUGUAGCAGGCCGGGUCAAGAUUGUAGCCAGGUCAAGAUUGUGGCCGGGUCAAGAUUGUGGUUGGGUCAUGAUUGUAACUAGCUGACUUAACUCCACAAAUGACUUAACUCUAGAGUUGACUUAUCCUCAGAUCCUGGUCUACCCAUGGGUAACUCCCCCGACAGUUCCUCUUGCUCCCGCCUGCAUAGGGGUGCUGGAGGCAUGUUGGCCAUUGACGCAUUUGUGGAGGCAGCCUAGGAUCUGUGAUAGCUUGCACACGCGUCAGGAUCCACCAGAGAAGGGGGAACUGGAAAAGGUUGCUUGAGAAGGGACGUGAUAUUGGGCCAACGGUGGGAGGCCGAUACGUCUCCGACAUAUCUAUAAUUUUUUAUUGUUCCAUGCUAUUAUAUUAUAUGUUUUGGAUGUUUUAUAUGCAUUAAUAUGCUAUUUUAUAUUAUAUUUGGGACUAACUUAUUAACCCAGAGCCCAGUGCCAAUUUAUAUUUUUUCCUUGUUUUUGAGUUUUACAAAAAGAUAUCAAAUGGAGUCCAAACGGAAUAAAACUUGACGAUGAUUUUUCUUGGAUCAGAAGACGCACAUAGGACUUGGAGACCAAGGCAGAAGAGUCCUGAGGUGGUGGCAAGGGUGCAGGGCGCGCCCCAGGGGGGGCGCCCCCUACCUUGUGGGUCCCUCGAAGCUCCUCUAACCCUAAUCUUCGGCCUAUAAAUUUAGAAAUAUUCCAAACCAUCAGAGGCAUCCAUGAAAAUACUUUUCCACCGCCACAAGCCUCUGUUCCCGUGAGACACAUCUUGGGGCCUUUUCCAGCAAUCUGCCGAAGGGGGAUUUGAUCACGGAGGGCAUCUACAUCAACCUUAUUGCCCUUCCGAUGAUGCGUGAGUAGUUUACCUUAGACCUACAAGUAUAGAGCUAGUAGCUAGAUGGCUUCUUCUCUCUCUAUGAUCUUCAAUACCAAGUUCUCCUCGAUGUUCUUGGAGUUCUAUCCGAUGUAAUAUUCUUUUCUGGUGUGUUUGUCGACAGCCAAUGAAUUAUGAAUUUAUGAUCAGAAUAUCUAUGAAUAUUAUUUUAUCUUCUCUGAAUUUUUAUAUGCUUGAUUUGGUAUCUUUGUAUUUCUCUUCGAAUUAUCAGUUUGGUUUGGCCAACUAGAUUGGUAUUUCUUGCAUUGGGAGAGGUGCUUAGUUUUGGGUUCAAUCUUGCGGUGUCCUCACCCAGUGACAUAGUAGGGGUAGCGAGGCAUGUAUUGUAUUGUUGCCAUCAAGGAUAAAAAAUAGGGUUUUCAUAAUAUUGCUUGAGUUUAUUCCUCUACAUCAUGUCAUCUUACUUAAGGCAUUACUUCGUUCUUUAUGAACCUAAUACUCUAGAUGCAUGUCGGAUAGCGGUUGAUGUGUGGAGUAAUAAUAGUACAUGCAGGCAGGAGUUGGUCUACUUGACACGGACAUGAUGCCUAUAUGCAUAAUCGCCUUGGAUAUCGUCAUAACUUUGCGCUUUUCUAUCAAUUGCUCGAUAGUAAUUUGUUCACCCACGGUAUGUUUUCUUUCAAGAGAGAAGCCUCAAGUGAAACCUAUGGCCCCCAGGGUCUAUUUUCCAUCAUAUAUUUUUGGAUCUAUAAACCAAAAAACCCCAAAAUACCUUGCUGCAGUUUUUUUACGUUUUAGUAAUAUUUUAUAUCUAUCUCUGUCAGAUCUCACCAUUGCAAUUGAUCAUGAAGGGAUUGACAACCCCUUUAUCACGUUGGGUGCAAGUGUUUGAUUUUUUGUGGAGGUGCAUAGAUUGGAGACUUGAUUGUACCUCCUACUGGAUUGAUACCUUGGUUCUCUAACUGAAGAAAAUACUUUUCUCUACUUUGCUGCCUCACCCUUUCCUCUUCAAGGGAAAAACCAACGCAAGCUCAAGAAGUAGCAUGAAGAAUUUCUGGCGCCGUUGCUGGGGAGGUUCGACAUCAAUACUACCAAGUACCCAUCAUAAACUCUCAUUUCUUGCAUUACAUUAUUUGCCAUUUGCCUCUCGUUUUCCUCCCGCCACUUCUAACACAAUUUUUAGAAAACAAAAAAAUAUUUGCAUUUUUAUUCUCCCUUCUUUCGCUCGUAUUUUCGUUUACUUUUUUGUUUGCUAGAAUUCCCGUACGGCUCAACCCAAAAGCUUUGAUCCUUAUUUUAGGAAGUUAGAAGAGAUUGAAAGUAAUGCUAAAAGUUUCAUGACUUUACAAUAUGAGUAUAACGAUUUCUUUAGAAACGAGCUUAAAGAACAAAAAACUAUGAUAGGGUAUAUUAAUAAAGAUCUUGAUGACAUGUCUAAGGAAUUUUAUGGUUUGAAAUCUCAGUUUUCUCAUUGAAAAUUUAGUAGGAAAAAUUUAUGAUAAGCAUGCUACUUGAGUAAAUAAGAUGGCCGCUAAACCGGAGUCUUUGAAUAAUGAUGAAGAUCUUAAAUUGAUUGAUGUGACUCCUAUUGAAUCUUUGUUUUCUAAUAUAAAUCUUGAUAAUAUGGGACUCGAGAUGAGUCAACUUUAGCUAGAAGGCAUCCCAAUGAUUCGGAGUUUAUAGAUCUUGAUGCAAAAGUUGAUAAAAGUGGGAUUUGAGUGGUCAAAACUUUAAGUAGCAAUGAAUCCGCUCUUUUGGAUUUAAAGGACUUUAAUUAUGAUAAUUGUUCUUUGAUAGAUUGAAUUUCCUUGUUGCAAUCCAUGUUGACUUCUCCUCAUGCUCAUUAUCAAAAUAAAGCAUUUACUAAACAUAUUGUUGAUGCCAUGAUGAAAUAUUUUGAAGAAAAACUUGAGUUGGAAGUUUCUAUCCCUAGAAAGCUUUAUGAUGAGUGGGAACCUGCUGUUAAGUUAAAAUUAAAGAUUAUGAGUGCCACGCUUUGUGUGAUUUGGGUGCUAGCAUUUCCACCAUUCCAGAAACUCUAUGUGGUGUGUUAGGUUUCCGUGAAUUUGAUUAUUGGUUUUUAAAUUUGCAUCUGGGGGAUUCCACUAUUAAAAAACCUAUAGGAAUAAUUAAUGAUGUUCUUAUUGUUGCAAAUAGUAAGUAUGUGCCCGUAGAUUUCAUUGUUCUUGAUAUAGAUUGAAAUCCUACAUGUCCUAUUAUUCUUGGUAGACCUUUCCUUAGAACAAUUCGUGCAAUUAUUGAUAUGAAAGAAGGAAACAUUAGAUUUCAGUUUCCAUUAGGCAAACACUUUCUAAGAAAGAAAAUUAAGUUGCCAUAUGAGUGUAUUAUGAUAGCUACUUAUGGAUCGCAUACCAAAGAUAACAAUACCUAGAUCUAUUACAAUAUUCCUAGCUAGGGCGUUAAACAAUAGCGCUUGUUGGGAGGCAACCCAAUUUUAUUUUUGUGUUUUUUGUUUUGCUUCUAUUCUUGAAUAAAAUACACAUUAUUACCUCUAUAGUAAUUGUGUUUUGGUGUUUUUAAUUAGUGUUUGUGCCAAAUAAAGCCUUUGGGAUACUUUGGUAUAUCAUUGAUUUGAUCUUGCAUAAACUUCUACGCUCAUUGCCAGCAUUGUUAAAAAUCACAUAAGCGUGAUAAAAUCCUGAAGGUGGGGUGGGGCGGUGGGGGAGAGGGGCCGGAUCUGGUGGCUUCGGUGACAUGGGGCGAUAAGUAGCUGGGAGCAUGGGUCGACUGCGAGAGACAAAGAAGAUGGUGGGGAUUUGGGGUGCGGCUGCAAGGGUCUGUGGGGAGUGGGGCUUGGGGCCGACCGUGCUCGGGGGUGAGUGAGAUCGUGGGAGGAGUGGGCCUGGGGUCUUGUUAGAGUAGACCCACCCUAUAUAUGGCUUGUUCCCUACAACGACUACAAUCAGGGAUAAUCUAUGGCUUCUUCCAUUGUGGUGUGAGAAUUCCAAUCUUCUUGAUUAAUUUCUCAUUAUUUGAUGUGAUAAUAAUGAUUUAUUUUUGUGUGAAAAUAGAUACUAAAUAAACAAUUAUCAUUAGAUUAUUAUUAAUUUAUUUGUAUGAACUGAAUCAGGUUUCACACAAACAAUAUAAGCAUUCCCCUCCACGCAAUAUUUCUAGUACAUAUAUAAACUCAUUUCAUGGUACUUCUCAGUUCUUUCGGCAGCAACAUGUGCUACUACUGCCUUCCAUGCAACUGCUCUUAUCCUUGUCAUAACCUCGGUUAACACAGUUAGCUUUGCACGUAAUGUUGCCACUAGCUCGGUCUGGUGGUGAACAAUUGUCCAGAGUUGUACACAGGUCAGUAUCUGUGCACAAAUCACAAUAGAGAUACCUCAAUCAACACAUAUAACCCACCAGGAAAAUAUAUGUUUGUGUAUCCAAAUACGAGUGAACAGAUUGUGAAAGAAAGAAGAAAACCAU
RNAcentral lists this long non-coding RNA (27169 nucleotides) under Triticum aestivum (bread wheat). RNAcentral's name for it is "long non-coding RNA (TAES_LNC010714)". Lineage: Eukaryota; Viridiplantae; Streptophyta; Magnoliopsida; Poales; Poaceae. The record is from RNAcentral.